This 491-nucleotide ribosomal RNA is filed under the name uncultured bacterium. RNAcentral describes it as "partial 16S ribosomal RNA". It matches the Rfam family "Bacterial small subunit ribosomal RNA", at positions 29 to 507 of the family's 1533-position model. The record is from RNAcentral.
GUGAACGCUGGCGGUAGGCCUAACACAUGCAAGUCGAACGGCAGCACAGUAAGAGCUUGCUCUUACGGGUGGCGAGUGGCGGACGGGUGAGGAAUACAUCGGAAUCUACUUUUUCGUGGGGGAUAACGUAGGGAAACUUACGCUAAUACCGCAUACGACCUACGGGUGAAAGCAGGGGAUCUUCGGACCUUGCGCGAUUGAAUGAGCCGAUGUCGGAUUAGCUAGUUGGCGGGGUAAAGGCCCACCAAGGCGACGAUCCGUAGCUGGUCUGAGAGGAUGAUCAGCCACACUGGAACUGAGACACGGUCCAGACUCCUACGGGAGGCAGCAGUGGGGAAUAUUGGACAAUGGGCGCAAGCCUGAUCCAGCCAUACCGCGUGGGUGAAGAAGGCCUUCGGGUUGUAAAGCCCUUUUGUUGGGAAAGAAAAGCAGCAGGUUAAUACCCCGCUGUUCUGACGGUACCCGAAGAAUAAGCACCGGCUAACUUCGUG